RNAcentral lists this long non-coding RNA (7407 nucleotides) under Pelobates cultripes (western spadefoot toad). Lineage: Eukaryota; Metazoa; Chordata; Amphibia; Anura; Pelobatidae. The record is from RNAcentral.
AAAAAAACGCUGUCCUGAUUUUGUACUGGCUUAUUAUAUAUAUAUAUAUCUGGGGGGGAUUUUUUUUUUUUUUUGUACAGUUCCAAAAGCUUCAAACCAAGAAAAGACUUUGCAAAAUUCCUUUGUAAUCACUCCAAGUGGAAACGAGGAGAUAAUUUUGAGUGAUUUUUUUUUUUUUUUUUUAAAUGUUGUGUGUUGUUCUCUCUUCUCCCUUUUCUCCUUACGACCUGUUUCCUCGCUUGGGUUUGUGUAUGUUGUGCCUGUAAAUCUUUCGCUUGGUAGAAGCUGUGUGUAAUUCUGGUCUUAAUGUAUUAUUAACAUUAGAAGAGAUUUACUCCUUUUUAUAUUUAGGGAAUACGACACAUCAGUGGGAAGGGGUGGGGGGAGGAAUUCAUAUAUUUCUUUUGGGGGGGGGGGUUCUAGAAAUUGAUAGGGCAUUAAGAAGUAGGGGUUGUUUGUCACCAGGUCACAAUUAUUCCACCAUCUUCCGAAGGACAUCAGAGACCCUAAUUUAUUUUUCUUACUGUGAUUUUUAAAUUGAAAUGCCCUUUAACAUGUAAAGGGUGACAAUGUAUUCCAGUAUUAAGUGGGCUUCGUUAGAGUGCAGUUCUGUCAGUCUGCUUUGCAGUGGAUAAUACGUAGUAAAAACAAGUCUUGUUGGGAGCAAAAGAAUGAAAAUGCAAAGGCAAUACUGUGAAUGACUUUGGUAAUAUAAUACACCCGCUCAACAGUAAUUUGAUUGUGACUUGGCUCAUGUCCAGACAAAAAAUGGAUUCCUUUUUUUUUUUUUUUUUGCGUGUAAAAAAAAAACCUAAAGAUUGUGCAAAUCUUUAUUCUGUUUGUGGCAAUCAAUACAAGACCAUAACCUGUAUAUGGUUCAAUAGCCUCAUACACUAACCUGCCUCCGUUUUCAGUACCCUUUUAAAUAGAAAUAUAUAACAGUGGCUGCAGUCCCCCAGCUCAAGAACUACCUGAGGCUGUGAUUUAAUUAGAACGCAAAGAAAGAUAAUUGACUUCUGGGUAUUUAUGAGAAAAUAAAUAUUUUAUUUGAGGAGCCAUUUACAUUCCCAAGCUGUGACAGACCAUCUAAAGGAACACUCCGGGCAUCGUACGAGUGUCAUUGGAUUAAGUUGUUAUGGUGCCAGGAGGUUCCUGGCGCUGACUUACUUUUAGGGGUUAAACCGUUCAUGAGCGGUGUAAACAGAGUCUUCUAUCCAGCUCCAUUUAACUCCAUCCCUGUCCUUCCAUUACUCUUAGAUUCUUCAAACAGGAGACCAUUUCUCCCCAUUUAUAAAAAUAGCUUGAAAACAAUGUUGGUUUCUCAAGCCGUUUUGUGUGUGGGGAGCUACAGAGAUUGGCUGAGAGCAUCAGCUGACAAGAAGCCCCUGUCUGUAGCAAUCUGAGGCUUGCUGAGAGCAGUGGGGAGGACAGCGGCAGAGCUAAAUGGGACUAGAGAGAAGACUUUUAGGUUAAACCAUUCACGAAUCGUUCUACCCCUAAAGCGACGAUGGCACCAGGACCAUUCCGAUGAAGUUGUUAUGGUGCCCAAAGGUUCCUUUUUAAAAAAAAUAAAAAUUUUAUUUAAUGAUUUGCUUUGCUACUUUGUUAGUGCUAAUAAAAUAUGGCAGUUAAUGCAUUUAUUGUAUGAAUUUUGACCUUUGCCUGUUAUUUGCCUGUUUUUGCUAAAAGUAAUCCUAGGUGUUCCCCACUCCCUCUCCAGACGUUGCGUGUGACAGGGUCGCGGAGUGAAUGCGUGUGUUGUCGUGGGGCAGUGCAAUACAACAUUUACUAUUCUGAUACUUUGUUAAUUCGUUUUUUUAAAACCACAUCAGGCCAACAUUUCAGAGCUGGCAAAAAUUUGCCUGACCCUGUUCCUUGUUGGGUUAUUGCUGGGAAUUGCAAUCAGUGUGUCAGUGUUAAGAAAGGGAUGUUAUUAAAACUGAGGCUUUUUACCCCUAAUAAUUACGUCUUUAUUUUUUCCUCCCAUUUUCUAUUUUGCUUUACAUUUGCACACCCUGUCUCUUUUUGGUGACAUUAGCAACAUGUUAAAGGGAUACUGUCACCUCUGAGGAUUUGUUGAAUACUCUGAUUUAGUUAUUCCUACGUGUAACAAAUAUGAAUACCUGAGGUAUUAAAAAAAAUAAUGAAAAUGUAGAAAUCCACACCUUUGUCCUGCAGUUUGGGUCCUCCAUUUUAACUCAGUCAGUCAUCCUUAUCAGUUGUGUCCUUUACAGCGAGCAGACAGAUGGGGCGAGGGGGCUUUGCCUUGUUCGAAUUGGAUUAUGAUAUAAAAUGCUAAAUUUUAAAACCAAGAGUAAAAGAAAAUGGAGCAUUUAUUGGAAAAAGGUUAAAACGAGAGAUUUUUUUUUUUUCAAGUGGUGUAAAUUCCAGAGUAAUCUUCUUUAAAGAUGAACAGUCACUUAUCACUAAGCACUAUUGCACACUUUGUGUGGUGGGGAGUGCAUGAGAGGUUAGUCACAGUACUUCCUGGUGUGAGUGAUGCCAUUCCAUAAUCGGUUAAGACAUUUCUUGGAAAAUGCUGUAUGCAAAGAAAUGCUUAGACUUUCCUUUGUAUGGUGACCUACGUCCGGCUGGGCUGUCGUUAUGCCAUUGGAGUUAGAUUUGCAUUUCAUGCUCUGACUGAACUGGGACUAGUUUGAUAUUGAGUUGUGCAAAUAUUUGAGAAGUUCAGAUUGCUUGAGUGUUGGCUAACCUGAGUGAGCAGUCGUGUUACACAUCAUGACAAAUGGUGGAGGAACCGUGGAGACUUAACUGACAUCCUGACAUUGCCACCAGGAAGAUCCAUCCCUAAACUAAAAUGCUACUCCACACUAAUGACAAACACAGGACACCCCUCUCCCCCACCCCAAAAGACCCACUCAGAAUUAGGAAGACUUUUUUUUUUUACACGAAAAGUGAAGUAGUCCUAGUACGGCCCAUCAUUACAAUCUCCACAUUUGAUAAAACAAUUUUUUUUAUUUUUUUUUAUUUUGGUUUUUUAAUAUAUCCACUUCUGGUUUGAUUUGGAGUCGCUCUGCAUUUUAGAAUUUUCAGAUGUAGAAUAACUGUUGCGCCAUAUUUUGCAUUUUAUUGUUUGUAGAAUAUUUAUUUUUUAAUGAUUUUUUACAAAUGAAUAUCAAAAUAAAACAAACCUUCAUGUAUAUACAAGGUUUGUAUAGGACGGUGAAAGAUAUUAACCCUUUCACACAAUCACCAUUGUUUUGUCACUAUGAAUAGAAGACUUUAGGGGUCAUUUUACAUGCCCAUAAUUCAUACAUUUUCAGGCAGUGACAAUUACAGAUUGGCUUUUAGAGAAUUAUUAUAAUUUAUUUAUUUUAAAGUGCCACUCUCACAUGAACUUUUUUUUUCCCUUCACAAUUUUAUGUUUAGCACACUAAUGCUAGUAGAUUCAGCUUAUUUUUUUUUUUAUUUAUUUAUUUUUUUUUAAAUCUAAGGAAGCUUGGUUUACCUGAACUACAGAUAAAUCUUCAAUUGCAAAGUUCCAGAGUGGAGGCCACCAUUUUUGAAUUGUAUCAUUUUGUAUCAGCUUCCAACGCUCUGAGCCCAGAAUUAUACUAUGUAAAGAUCAGAAAAUAUUUCAAUAAAUUCUGAUGCAGUGCAUCUAACAUUCAAUACGCUUGGGUUGAUCAUUUUUCAAUCUAUUUAGCAGUUUAUAAAAACAAAAACCCCAAGGUAUUUUAAAGUGUCGAAUGAUGGUGCAUUGAUUGUUUCUGAUGACAGUUUGACAUUUUAAAGUUUACAGAUUAUAUUGGCCUCUGGUUAAUUCAAAUGAAGAAACCAGUUCUAUGAUUUUACUUUAAUUUUGGUGUUACUUGUAGGAAGGAAGCCCUGUUUUUUAAUUUUCUAGAAGUUGCCUUGCAGUUGUAUCAAGACUAAAGUAGCCCCACGGGCAGACAAAUAAAAUGAAAUCGGUUGAGUUUAAAUAAUCCAGUACUUUGUGCUGGGAGUUAGAAAUCACACAGAACGUCCACUAGGUGGAACUAAACUAUCUGUUUUCAUUAAUACAUUUAAAAAAAAUCACACUAUUCUUUGUCAAAAAAUUGGCAAAGUAUAGAAAUAGUACUUCAGUCAGAACAUCAACAUACUUCAACCAAGUGUUACAAUAAUACAUACAUAAAGUGCUACUUAAAGGAACACUAUAGUCACCUAAAUUACUUUAGCUAAAUAAAGCAGUUUUAGUGUAUAGAUUAUUCCCCUGCAAUUUCACUGCUCAAUUCAAUGUCAUUUAGGAGUUAAAUCACUUUGUUUCUGUUUAUGCAGCCCUAGCCACACCUCCCCUGGCUAUGAUUGACAGAGCCUGCAUGGAAAAAAAAAAACUGGUUUCACUUUCAAACAGAUGUCAUUUACCUUAAAUAAGUUUAUCUCAAUCUCUAAAUUGAACUGUAAUCACAUACAGGAGGCUCUUGCAGGGUCUAGCAAGCUAUUAACAUAGCAGGGGAUAAGAAAAUCUUAAUUAAACAGAACUUGCAAUAAAGAAAGCCUAAAUAGGGCUCUCUUUACAGGAAGUGUUUAUGGAAGGCUGUGCAAGUCACAUGCAGGGAGGUGUGACUAGGGUUCAUAAACAAAGGGAUUUAACUCCUAAAUGGCAGAGGAUUGAGCAGUGAGGCUGCAGGGGCAUGUUCUAUACACCAAAACUGCUUCAUUAAGCUAAAGUUGUUCAGGUGACUAUAGUGUCCCUUUAAAAGAGCAAUAUAAAAUGUACGGAGACUUCAGAAUAAACCUAACAUUUCUAUAUUACAGUUGCUUCAGCGCUUAAUCCAAAAACUUUAUUAAGAGUGGCAAGGCUAACCAGAGUAUGGCAGAUCCAAUGUGAGAUUGGAGUUUCAUUUAAAAAUAGAUAAAAUAUUGAAUAGCCCCACCUGCGUAGUUUAGUAGUUACAUUCCAAAAGAAUCCCACCAACAAAAUAAUUACCCGCAUACUAACCAUGCAACUAUGGAUGGGUUUCUCAUGGGUUUUGGGGAGAGCAUACACUUGGGUAAAUACAAGAAUUGUAAUUUUACAUUUUUUAAAAUUUUUAUUUUACUUUUAUUUUUUUUAUUUGUUGAACAAUAAACUUCAUACAAGCAUGGAAAGUCUGGCUAGUUUAUAUCAUAAAAGCUUACUGAAUACAGAUUGAUAUCAAAGAAGUCCUAAAACAGUCCAGCAGGCCAAGGCACCUAAAACAAGUCACCCAUGCAUAUUGGUUUGACAAGCACUGACCUACAGGAGAGGCUUGCAAGCCUUUUCUCAAGAACCACAAAAUAUAUCAAGGUUCUGUGCAAUGCUCCCAAUGAGGCAGUCUGGGAAUCCUUGACCUUUGGGGUAUCUGACGAAUGACUGGGCUCCUUAACAAAACUGGUCAAACCGUGAUACUGUACUGAUAAGGAUGGGUGUUUGUACAGCGCCAGGUAACUAGCCAAAUUUUAUAGUAAGGCAAAGUGUAUUGUUUUGUGUUUUCUUGUGUAUAUACAUAAUGCGUAGCAGAACUUUUUAACUGGAACUAAGCAAAGUUGUUUAAUUGUAUUUUAAUAUAUUCUUGAGAAAAGUUAAUGUCCCAACGCGGGUAGGAAAUUAAUAAAUGAGCUGUGUUAUAGGUAACCAGUUACUCUGAUCAAUAAAAAGUGAUAUUUCCAGUCUUUACUUCCAAACACGUCUUCGUUACAGGUACUAUGUAUGGAGGGCAUUGUGAUGUCAUUUCACAGCCGCCUUUGGUUAAUUGCAUACCUUGAUUCAUAUCUUGAAAUUCUAAACAUCACGUCAUGGAAUUUCACUUUUUCUGUAUCUACACAGAAGGAGAAAAAUGUGCUGAUAUCCCGUCUGGUAACCUCUUGCAUAAGGAAUAUUAGUUGACAGAAGUGCGUGAAGACCUAAUUAAUAUUCCUAUUUUGUUGCAAGUGGAACAUUUCAACACAAAGUAAUUCACAAGCGCAGGUGGCAGUUUAAAGAGUUAUUCCAGGCAUCAUGGCCAUUUCAGUGAUUUAAAGUGGUCAUGGUGCCUUGAGUCUCUUUAUGCAGUGUUUCACUUUGAAAAUGCCAUACAAACCACGUUGACCCCCCUCUGCUGCUGGAGAUGUAACUCUACCAACAGCAGCGUCAUUGCGUUGUCAUCAGCCACUAGAGCUCCGAGCUGACUAAUGUCAAUUCUAUGCAUGUUUCGAUGCACAGAAUCCAAUUAAUUGGUGAUAGCGGUCAGCUGACACUCUCAGCCAACAAAUGAGUGAUUGGAUCACUACCACUGAGCUAAGCACAGCAACGCAGUACGGUGCUCAGCUGACUCCCUUGUGGCAGAGCUUAACUCAGUGGAGCCAACGGUAGCUCCUUUUAGGAACUUCUAGCAGCAGAUAAGUGGGCAAUGCGUGCCCAGGUAAGUUGUCAAACUAUUCUUGAGCAGUUACCACUACAGAAAGCUGAAGUGGCUAUGGUGCUACCUUUAAUGAAUAUAUUUUAGCCUUUUGUUCACAGAUGGCUUGGGUCAGAGUGUUGUGCAAAUACCAAUUUACAAAAAGAUCUGACUCUGCAUGUUUUUCAUACAGUUAUAGGUGUGCACAUGUUCUAAAUAAAAUAUACGCUGAGAACUCAAUAUUACUUAAACGUUAAUGAGCCCAUUUUCUUUAUUACCAGACAUAUGCAUACUUAUUCGAUUGAGCACAUGUUGAGAAAAAAAUAAAUUAAAACAUACCUGGUCCUCUGUUUACUUUAGGAGCUGGGAGAGCCCCACAUUGCUAAAUUUUAAAUAAAUAAUACUGAUCAUGUCGCGUCAUUGCAUGUGACUUAUUUACAGUCUUACAGUUUUGCUUCUUCAUUCUGUUUAAAAAAAAUAAUAAACAUAAAUGAAUAUCUAAUGCUCCUGACAACUUGUUUUCCCUUAACCCCCUUAUUUUUUUUAAAUUUAUUUAAUUUUCUGCCUUGGUGCAGCAAUACAAAUGAAGAUACAUUCUUGGUUUGAGCAAGAAGUGGGGGGGGGGAGGGGUAAAAAAAAAAUGGGUAGAUGUUUAGAAUAAAUAUAAUGUUCACGUGUGUAAAUAUAAAUGUGUGCGUACUAUAUAACCUUACAUAUUUUUUUUGUUUGAAAAAAAUAAAACAUUAAAAUGUGACAAAUUCCUCCCAUUCCCUCCUGCACUUAAUGGUUUUUUUUUUUACAAUGUGAAAUGGUGACACAUAUAUCCCUACCUAAUUGCCCUGUAAAUUUUGCCAACAUGCACUGAAAAAGCAUUACAUUACAUAGUUUGUGCCAUUGAGUCAUGUAUGGUACUAAUAAAUUUUUUUUUUUGAUUUUACUGUCUUUUUAUUUUAAUUUUAUUUUUUUUACUAUUUGUAUUCCCUCCUUUCCGUAUCUGAUGCUUUGAGCAUCGUCCUGCUGUAAAUACUGGUAAUAUUCAAUAAACACUGAGGAAAGGGUUGUAAAU